RNAcentral lists this ribosomal RNA (590 nucleotides) under uncultured bacterium. RNAcentral describes it as "bacterial SSU rRNA". It matches the Rfam family "Bacterial small subunit ribosomal RNA", at positions 335 to 916 of the family's 1533-position model. The record is from RNAcentral.
ACUCCUACGGGAGGCAGCAGUGAGGAAUUUUGCGCAAUGGCCGCAAGGCUGACGCAGCAACGCCGCGUGGGUGAUGAAGGCCUUCGGGUCGUAAAGCCCUGUCAGGUGGGAAGAAAGGCCUUGAUAAGAAACGGUUGAGGUUUGACGGUACCACCAGAGGAAGCACCGGCUAACUCCGUGCCAGCAGCCGCGGUAAUACGGAGGGUGCGAGCGUUAUUCGGAAUUACUGGGCGUAAAGCGCGUGUAGGCGGGGAUGCAAGUCUGAUGUGAAAGCCCUGGGCUUAACCUGGGAAGUGCAUUGGAAACUGCAUUUCUUGAGUACUGGAGAGGAAGGGGGAAUUCCCGGUGUAGAGGUGAAAUUCGUAGAGAUCGGGAGGAAUACCAGUGGCGUAGGCGCCCUUCUGGACGGUAACUGACGCUGAGACGCGAAAGCGUGGGGAGCAAACAGGAUUAGAUACCCUGGUAGUCCACGCUGUAAACGAUGAUCACUAGGUGUAGCGGGUACUCAUUCCUGCUGUGCCGUAGCUAACGCGUUAAGUGAUCCGCCUGGGGAUUACGGUCGCAAGACUAAAACUCAAAGGAAUUGACGG